Molecule: ribosomal RNA, 905 nt
Filed under: Trichoderma koningiopsis
Lineage: Eukaryota; Fungi; Ascomycota; Sordariomycetes; Hypocreales; Hypocreaceae
Description: SSU rRNA
Rfam family: Eukaryotic small subunit ribosomal RNA
Source: RNAcentral
UGUUUUCUCUGUGUGCCAGCAGCCGCGGUAAUUCCAGCUCCAAUAGCGUAUAUUAAAGUUGUUGUGGUUAAAAAGCUCGUAGUUGAACUUUGGGCCUGGCUGGCCGGUCCGCCUCACCGCGUGCACUGGUCCGGCCGGGCCUUUCCCUCUGCGGAACCCCAUGCCCUUUCACUGGGUGUGGCGGGGAAACAGGACUUUUACUUUGAAAAAAUUAGAGUGCUCAAGGCAGGCCUAUGCUCGAAUACAUUAGCAUGGAAUAAUAGAAUAGGACGUGUGGUUCUAUUUUGUUGGUUUCUAGGACCGCCGUAAUGAUUAAUAGGGACAGUCGGGGGCAUCAGUAUUCAAUUGUCAGAGGUGAAAUUCUUGGAUUUAUUGAAGACUAACUACUGCGAAAGCAUUUGCCAAGGAUGUUUUCAUUAAUCAGGAACGAAAGUUAGGGGAUCGAAGACGAUCAGAUACCGUCGUAGUCUUAACCAUAAACUAUGCCGACUAGGGAUCGGACGAUGUUACAUUUUUGACGCGUUCGGCACCUUACGAGAAAUCAAAGUGCUUGGGCUCCAGGGGGAGUAUGGUCGCAAGGCUGAAACUUAAAGAAAUUGACGGAAGGGCACCACCAGGGGUGGAGCCUGCGGCUUAAUUUGACUCAACACGGGGAAACUCACCAGGUCCAGACACAAUGAGGAUUGACAGAUUGAGAGCUCUUUCUUGAUUUUGUGGGUGGUGGUGCAUGGCCGUUCUUAGUUGGUGGAGUGAUUUGUCUGCUUAAUUGCGAUAACGAACGAGACCUUAACCUGCUAAAUAGCCCGUAUUGCUUUGGCAGUACGCCGGCUUCUUAGAGGGACUAUCGGCUCAGCCGAUGGAAGUUUGAGGCAAUAACAGGUCAUAUAUGGCGCCCUCUAAGAGAA